AUGGGAACAUCAAUACAGACAUUUAUGAACACUGUCAAGGUUAUUUUCGAGGAGAAUACCACUGAAAAAGUUGGAGCCUCUGUCAAAAUAUUAACAUGUGGCAGGUUGCUCUAUAUAUAUCCAUAUAAAAGAGGAUUCGUGUUACAUUAUAGCCGGCAAACGAGGCCAGACGUGUGCUCCUUGCUGCCAGCUCCGCCCUCCUCCACCCUAUCUCCUCGGAACGGGCAGCUCCAUCCAUCGGUACCUAGAAGCACAGAGGUUCGCCUCUACCACGAUGGCCACAUCACUGCAACCGAAACUCCACCAUUGUCCAGCCACCGACCCAGUGCAGCUCGACUCAAUCUGGACCGUAACCUCUCUGGGUGUUAG
Molecule: ribosomal RNA, 369 nt
Filed under: Triticum aestivum (bread wheat)
Lineage: Eukaryota; Viridiplantae; Streptophyta; Magnoliopsida; Poales; Poaceae
Description: partial small subunit ribosomal RNA
Source: RNAcentral